GCCCCCGUAGCUCAGCCGGAUAGAGCGCCGGAUUCCUAAUCCGUAGGCCGUGGGUUCAAAUCCCGCCGGGGGCACCA
Molecule: transfer RNA, 77 nt
Filed under: Magnetococcales bacterium
Lineage: Bacteria; Pseudomonadati; Pseudomonadota; Magnetococcia; Magnetococcales
Also listed under: 1 other name
Description: tRNA-Arg
Rfam family: tRNA
About the family: Transfer RNA (tRNA) molecules are approximately 80 nucleotides in length. Their secondary structure includes four short double-helical elements and three loops (D, anti-codon, and T loops).
Source: RNAcentral